This 854-nucleotide unclassified non-coding RNA is filed under the name Hevea brasiliensis (rubber tree). Lineage: Eukaryota; Viridiplantae; Streptophyta; Magnoliopsida; Malpighiales; Euphorbiaceae. The record is from RNAcentral.
AAUACCACAGACAAUUGCUAAACUGAAUGACGGAAAUCAGUUGGCAUUGCAAGGAGAGUCAAAGUUCCAUUCUGCUGAAAAUGAGACGAAGCUUCUUGAUAAGCUAGUAUACAUUUUAGAUACCUUGCAGCCUGCUAAGUUUCAUUGGCAAUGGGUUGAGCUUAGGCUCCUCUUGAACGAGCAAGCUGUAAUGGAGAAGCUGGAGGCCCAUGAUCUCUCUUUAGUUGAAGCUUUAAGAUCCCUUUCGCCGAACACUGAUAAAGCAUCUGUCUCAGAGAACGAGAGCAACAUUAUUGAAAUGAUCCUUACCAGGUUGCUCGUCAGACCUGAUGCUGCUCCGCUUUUUUCUGAAGUUGUACAUCUUUUGGGGAGGUCACUCGAGGAUUCUAUGCUAUUACAGGCUAAAUGGUUUUUAGGAGGCAAUGAUGUUCUUUUAGGCAGGAAAUCUGUUCGUCAACGGCUGCAUAAUAUUGCUGUAAGUAGAGGUCUUUCAACUAGAGCUCAAUAUUGGAAGCCGUGGGGGUGGUGUACUACCAACUCUGAUCCCACAACAAGCAAGAGAGAAAAGUUAAAAUCUGAAGUUUCCUCCAUAGAAGAAGGAGAAGUGGUGGAUGAAGGUACUACCUUGAAGCGGCCUGUGAAGGGGUCUGGUCGUACUGUUGAUGUUGAAAAGCUCCAUGUCACUGAGAGAGCCCUGGUUGAUCUAAUUCUCCCUUGUCUGGAUCAAGCUUCAGAUGAUUCACGAAGCACAUUUGCUAGUGAUAUGAUCAAACAGAUGAACCUCAUUGAGCAACAGAUCAAUGCAGUUACUCGUGAAGCAAGCAAGCCUGCCGGAACAGUUGCUUCUGGAAUUG